AGGUGACUAGUUUAGUAAAAACAUUUGAUUUCGGCUCAGAAGCUUGUGGUUAAAGUCCAUAUUCACCUA
This 69-nucleotide transfer RNA is filed under the name Johnius grypotus. Its description in RNAcentral is "tRNA-Arg". It matches the Rfam family "tRNA". From Rfam's summary of the family: Transfer RNA (tRNA) molecules are approximately 80 nucleotides in length. Their secondary structure includes four short double-helical elements and three loops (D, anti-codon, and T loops). Lineage: Eukaryota; Metazoa; Chordata; Actinopteri; Sciaenidae. The record is from RNAcentral.